RNAcentral lists this ribosomal RNA (432 nucleotides) under uncultured bacterium. RNAcentral describes it as "bacterial SSU rRNA". It matches the Rfam family "Bacterial small subunit ribosomal RNA", at positions 202 to 651 of the family's 1533-position model. The record is from RNAcentral.
GCUCCGGCGCUACGGAGAGGGGGCCCGCGGCCGAUUAGCUUGUUGGUGGGGUAAUGGCCUACCAAGGCGACGAUCGGUAGCUGGUCUGAGAGGAUGGUCAGCCACACGGGGACUGAGAUACGGCCCCGACUCCUACGGGAGGCAGCAGCUAAGAAUCUUGCGCAAUGGGCGAAAGCCUGACGCAGCAAUUCCGCGUGGAGGACGAAGGCCCCUCGGGUCGUAAACUCCUUUUUGCGAGGGAAGAAGUUCUGACGGUACCUCGCGAAUAAGCCACGGCUAACUACGUGCCAGCAGCCGCGGUAAUACGUAGGUGGCGAGCGUUGUCCGGAUUUAUUGGGCGUAAAGAGCCCGCAGGCGGCUUGGCAAGUUUCGAGUGAAAUCUCCCGGCUCAACUGGGAGGGCGCUCGGAAAAACUGCCAGGCUUGAGGCAGG